Molecule: long non-coding RNA, 1011 nt
Filed under: Anser cygnoides (Swan goose)
Lineage: Eukaryota; Metazoa; Chordata; Aves; Anseriformes; Anatidae
Description: lncRNA (ENSACDG00005016715.1)
Source: RNAcentral
GUUCUAGUGUUUUUCUUCCUCCCUAAGGUCAAACAAUUUAUUAAGGAUAUCAUCCAAGGACCUGCCCCGAGACAAAGUAGUUGUGGGUGGCAAGGUGUGUGGGGGGAUAUGGGCAGGUACCUGUAACGGUUGUCUCCUCCAACGGUUUUUCACUUCACCCCUGAACAACUGCGAAAUCCAAAAAAAAUGGUAGAAUGUUUGAGAGACGUAUGCCCUGACCCUGGCAAUACUCCACCAGAACUCCACCAGCUUGCUGCACUCUGCUGGGGUCUGGCUUACGCCUAUCAAAUGGUAAUUAACACUGCCCAGCACCCUCAAGGGGAUGGGGAAGUUUCUGAAUUCGAUGACGAGACAACGCACACUGUGACCACCCCAGAGGACCAACCAUCUAUGGUAUCAGUCGCCCCUAUAGUCAAGACAAAACAAUGGAAACAGAAGUCAGCUCGUUUAGUAGGGGAAGAAGCUCCUCCUAAGGAGGAGGGAGAAGAGGAAAAGGCAGGCAGCUCUAAAGCAGCGUCAUCACAACAACAUCAGGGAGAAGAGACGGAAAUCAUAAAUGAAUCAGAAACCACCCAAUCCCUAUCCUUGAUUGAGUUGCGAGAAAUACGAAAGGAUUUCAGUCUUCAUCCAGGUGAGCACCUCCUCACCUGGCUGCUUCGAUGUUGGGACACUGGGGCCAGUAGCCAGGAACUAGAGGGCAAUGAAGCCAAGCAGCUGGGAUCCCUCUCUAGAGAAAGGCUCAUAGACAGAGUAAUUGGGAGAGAGGCACAGGUUCUCAGCCUCUGGAGGCGACUCCUGGCAGCUGUGAAAGAAAGGUAUCCCCACAAGGAAGAUAUUGUAUAUCAAUUAUGCAAGUGGACCACCAUGGAGAAAGGUCUCCAGCACCUGCGGGAAUUAGCUGUGCUGGAGAUGAUUUAUAGUAAUUUGAACCAUGAACAGACACCUAAAGACCCUGAUGAAGUCCAGUGCACAGCAUCCAUGUGGCAGAAGUUGAUACGGGCUGCACUCCUA